Long non-coding RNA from Cheilinus undulatus (humphead wrasse), 470 nucleotides. RefSeq lists it as uncharacterized. NCBI's taxonomy places the organism in Eukaryota, Metazoa, Chordata, Actinopteri, Labriformes, Labridae. The transcript has 4 exons. The record is from RefSeq and is a predicted model, not a curated record.
GCUAUGCUACGUAUGACGUAAUCGUUUCAAGAAAGAUGCGGUUGGCUGUCCACGUGAAAUGUCUGCCACAUCAGCUCCACAUGCAUCCCCUCCACCUCUCUCGCCCGUCUUUCUUUCUCGGCUUCUCCUCUCACCUCUUCCUCCACUUGAGGCUUAGUUAAGCCUGAAUGAGAGAACAGAGAGGUGGUGCUGGUAAUACGGCAGCAGCGGUCUGAGGUUAAUGUCACACGACUGGAAAUCUAUGACGCCUGCGGUGGCCUGGAGGGUGGUGGAUGACAACGACUGCCCGAAUAUCAAUGGCUUUCACCCUGCCCCCCUGGUGCUGUGGAGAGUCACACCUGCAGCGAAUCACCUAAUAGACUCCUGCUAUUUAAGACCGGCUGCAGCUCUCUUCAGCGCCUGAGUCUUGUCUACCUUACCACACGUGCCUCCUGCUCAGAUCACCACAGCCAGCUCCAGCACUCUCUCAC